AGCAGUAGCCGCGGGAAUACGAAGGGUGCAAGCGUUAAUCGGAAUUACUGGGCGUAAAGCGUGCGUAGGUGGUGGUUUAAGUCCGUUGUGAAAGCCCUGGGCUCAACCUGGGAAUUGCAGUGGAUACUGGGUCACUAGAGUGUGGUAGAGGAUAGUGGAAUUUCCGGUGUAGCAGUGAAAUGCGUAGAGAUCGGAAGGAACAUCUGUGGCGAAGGCGACUAUCUGGGCCAACACUGACACUGAGGCACGAAAGCGUGGGGAGCAAACAGGAUUAGAUACCCGCGUAGUCCCUGUCUCUUAUAC
This 303-nucleotide ribosomal RNA is filed under the name uncultured bacterium. RNAcentral describes it as "partial 16S ribosomal RNA". It matches the Rfam family "Bacterial small subunit ribosomal RNA", at positions 507 to 807 of the family's 1533-position model. The record is from RNAcentral.